RNAcentral lists this transfer RNA (72 nucleotides) under Fusarium poae. Its description in RNAcentral is "tRNA-Asp". It matches the Rfam family "tRNA". Rfam says of the family: Transfer RNA (tRNA) molecules are approximately 80 nucleotides in length. Lineage: Eukaryota; Fungi; Ascomycota; Sordariomycetes; Hypocreales; Nectriaceae. The record is from RNAcentral.
UCUUCCGUAGUAUAGUGGUCAGUAUGCAAGCUUGUCACGCUUGAGUCCCGGGUUCAAUUCCCGGCGGGAGAG